GGUAUCCUGGCUCAGGAUGAACGCUGGCGGCGUGCUAACACAUGCAAGUCGAACGGGGAUAUAUUGGAAUGAGGAUUCGUCUGAAGGAAAAUGUAUCUUAGUGGCGGACGGGUGAGUAACGCGUGGGCAACCUACCGUAUACAGGGGGAUAACACUUAGAAUAGGUGCUAAUACCGCAUAAGCGCACAGCAGUGCAUACUGGAGUGUGAAAAGCCGAGACGGUAUACGAUGGGCCCGCGUCUGAUUAGCCAGUUGGCAGGUAACGGCCUACCAAAGCGACGAUCAGUAGCCGGCCUGAGAGGGCGGACGGCCACAUUGGGACUGAGACACGGCCCAGACUCCUACGGGAGGCAGCAGUGGGGGAUAUUGCACAAUGGGGGGAACCCUGAUGCAGCGACGCCGCGUGAGUGAAGAAGUAAUUCGUCAUGUAAAGCUCUAUCAGCAGGGAAGAAUAAAUGACGGUACCUGAGUAAGAAGCCCCGGCUAACUACGUG
Molecule: ribosomal RNA, 494 nt
Filed under: uncultured Lachnospiraceae bacterium
Lineage: Bacteria; Bacillati; Bacillota; Clostridia; Lachnospirales; Lachnospiraceae
Description: bacterial SSU rRNA
Rfam family: Bacterial small subunit ribosomal RNA
Source: RNAcentral